UACAGAGGUCCCAAGCGUUUGUUCGGAUUCACUGGGCGUAAAGGGUGCGUAGGUGGUCAGGUAAGUCUGAUGUGAAAGCUCUGGGCUCAACCCAGAAAUGGCAUUGGAUACUAUCUGGCUAGAGGAAUGGAGGGGGGACUGGAAUACUUGGUGUAGCAGUGAAAUGCGUAGAUAUCAAGUGGAACACCAGUGGCGAAGGCGAGUCCCUGGACAUUUCCUGACACUGAGGCACGAAAGCUAGGGGAGCAAACAGG
This 254-nucleotide ribosomal RNA is filed under the name uncultured bacterium. RNAcentral's name for it is "partial 16S ribosomal RNA". It matches the Rfam family "Bacterial small subunit ribosomal RNA", at positions 524 to 776 of the family's 1533-position model. The record is from RNAcentral.